GAUGAACGCUGGCGGCGUGCCUAACACAUGCAAGUCGAACGGAGUUGUCACCAUGAAGUUUUCGGAUGGAAUGGAGGCAACUUAGUGGCGGACGGGUGAGUAACGCGUGGGUAACCUGCCUCAUACUGGGGGAUAACAGCUGGAAACGGCUGCUAAAACCGCAUAAGAUCGCAUCACCGCAUGGUGAGGCGGUUAAAUAUCGAAAGAUAGGUAUGAGAUGGGCCCGCGUCUGAUUAGCUAGUUGGUGAGAUAAGAGCCCACCAAGGCGACGAUCAGUAGCCGGCUUGAGAGAGUGACCGGCCACAUUGGGACUGAGACACGGCCCAAACUCCUACGGGAGGCAGCAGUGGGGAAUAUUGCACAAUGGGGGAAACCCUGAUGCAGCGACGCCGCGUGAGUGAAGAAGUGCUUCGGCAUGUAAAGCUCUAUCAGCAGGGAAGAAGAUGACGGUACCUGACUAAGAAGCCCCGGCUAACUA
Molecule: ribosomal RNA, 478 nt
Filed under: uncultured bacterium
Lineage: Bacteria
Description: bacterial SSU rRNA
Rfam family: Bacterial small subunit ribosomal RNA
Source: RNAcentral